UUAAGUUAGAAAGGGCGCACGGUGGAUGCCUUGACACUAGGAGUCGAUGAAGGACGGGACUAACGCCGAUAUGCUUCGGGGAGCUGUAAGUAAGCUUUGAUCCGAAGAUUUCCGAAUGGGGAAACCCACCAUACGUAAUGGUAUGGUAUCCUUAUCUGAAUACAUAGGGUAAGGAAGACAGACCCAGGGAACUGAAACAUCUAAGUACCUGGAGGAAGAGAAAGCAAAUGCGAUUUCCUGAGUAGCGGCGAGCGAAACGGAACAUAGCCCAAACCAAGAGGCUUGCCUCUUGGGGUUGUAGGACAUUCUAUACGGAGUUACAAAGGAACGAGGUAGACGAAGCGACCUGGAAAGGUCCGUCGUAGAGGGUAACAACCCCGUAGUCGAAACUUCGUUCUCUCUUGAAUGUAUCCUGAGUACGGCGGAACACGUGAAAUUCCGUCGGAAUCUGGGAGGACCAUCUCCCAAGGCUAAAUACUCCCUAGUGAUCGAUAGUGAACCAGUACCGUGAGGGAAAGGUGAAAAGCACCCCGGAAGGGGAGUGAAAGAGAUCCUGAAACCGUGUGCCUACAAAUAGUCAGAGCCCGUUAACGGGUGAUGGCGUGCCUUUUGUAGAAUGAACCGGCGAGUUACGAUCCCGUGCGAGGUUAAGCUGAAGAGGCGGAGCCGCAGCGAAAGCGAGUCUGAAUAGGGCGUUUAGUACGUGGUCGUAGACCCGAAACCAGGUGAUCUACCCAUGUCCAGGGUGAAGUUCAGGUAACACUGAAUGGAGGCCCGAACCCACGCACGUUGAAAAGUGCGGGGAUGAGGUGUGGGUAGCGGAGAAAUUCCAAUCGAACCUGGAGAUAGCUGGUUCUCCCCGAAAUAGCUUUAGGGCUAGCCUUAAGUGUAAGAGUCUUGGAGGUAGAGCACUGAUUGGACUAGGGGUCCUCAUCGGAUUACCGAAUUCAGUCAAACUCCGAAUGCCAAUGACUUAUCCUUAGGAGUCAGACUGCGAGUGAUAAGAUCCGUAGUCAAAAGGGAAACAGCCCAGACCGCCAGCUAAGGUCCCAAAGUGUGUAUUAAGUGGAAAAGGAUGUGGAGUUGCUUAGACAACUAGGAUGUUGGCUUAGAAGCAGCCACCAUUUAAAGAGUGCGUAAUAGCUCACUAGUCGAGUGACUCUGCGCCGAAAAUGUACCGGGGCUAAAUACACCACCGAAGCUGCGGAUUGAUACCAAUGGUAUCAGUGGUAGGGGAGCGUUCUAAGGACAGUGAAGUCAGACCGGAAGGACUGGUGGAGUGCUUAGAAGUGAGAAUGCCGGUAUGAGUAGCGAAAGACGGGUGAGAAUCCCGUCCACCGAAUGCCUAAGGUUUCCUGAGGAAGGCUCGUCCGCUCAGGGUUAGUCAGGACCUAAGCCGAGGCCGACAGGCGUAGGCGAUGGACAACAGGUUGAUAUUCCUGUACCACCUCUUUAUCGUUUGAGCAAUGGAGGGACGCAGAAGGAUAGAAGAAGCGUGCGAUUGGUUGUGCACGUCCAAGCAGUUAGGCUGAUAAGUAGGCAAAUCCGCUUAUCGUAAAGGCUGAGCUGUGAUGGGGAAGCUCCUUAUGGAGCGAAGUCUUUGAUUCCCCGCUGCCAAGAAAAGCUUCUAGCGAGAUAAAAGGUGCCUGUACCGCAAACCGACACAGGUAGGCGAGGAGAGAAUCCUAAGGUGUGCGAGAGAACUCUGGUUAAGGAACUCGGCAAAAUGACCCCGUAACUUCGGGAGAAGGGGUGCUUUCUUAACGGAAAGCCGCAGUGAAUAGGCCCAAGCGACUGUUUAGCAAAAACACAGCUCUCUGCGAAGCCGUAAGGCGAAGUAUAGGGGGUGACACCUGCCCGGUGCUGGAAGGUUAAGGAGAGGGGUUAGCGUAAGCGAAGCUCUGAACUGAAGCCCCAGUAAACGGCGGCCGUAACUAUAACGGUCCUAAGGUAGCGAAAUUCCUUGUCGGGUAAGUUCCGACCCGCACGAAAGGUGUAACGAUUUGGGCACUGUCUCAACCAGAGACUCGGUGAAAUUAUAGUACCUGUGAAGAUGCAGGUUACCCGCGACAGGACGGAAAGACCCCGUGGAGCUUUACUGUAGCCUGAUAUUGAAUUUUGGUACAGUUUGUACAGGAUAGGCGGGAGCCUUUGAAACCGGAGCGCUAGCUUCGGUGGAGGCGCUGGUGGGAUACCGCCCUGACUGUAUUGAAAUUCUAACCUACGGGUCUUAUCGACCCGGGAGACAGUGUCAGGUGGGCAGUUUGACUGGGGCGGUCGCCUCCUAAAGUGUAACGGAGGCGCCCAAAGGUUCCCUCAGAAUGGUUGGAAAUCAUUCGUAGAGUGCAAAGGCAUAAGGGAGCUUGACUGCGAGACCUACAAGUCGAGCAGGGACGAAAGUCGGGCUUAGUGAUCCGGUGGUUCCGCAUGGAAGGGCCAUCGCUCAACGGAUAAAAGCUACCCCGGGGAUAACAGGCUUAUCUCCCCCAAGAGUCCACAUCGACGGGGAGGUUUGGCACCUCGAUGUCGGCUCAUCGCAUCCUGGGGCUGUAGUCGGUCCCAAGGGUUGGGCUGUUCGCCCAUUAAAGCGGUACGCGAGCUGGGUUCAGAACGUCGUGAGACAGUUCGGUCCCUAUCCGUCGUGGGCGUAGGAAAUUUGAGAGGAGCUGUCCUUAGUACGAGAGGACCGGGAUGGACGCACCGCUGGUGUACCAGUUGUUCUGCCAAGGGCAUAGCUGGGUAGCUAUGUGCGGAAGGGAUAAGUGCUGAAAGCAUCUAAGCAUGAAGCCCCCCUCAAGAUGAGAUUUCCCAUAGCGUAAGCUAGUAAGAUCCCUGAAAGAUGAUCAGGUUGAUAGGUUCGAGGUGGAAGCAUGGUGACAUGUGGAGCUGACGAAUACUAAUAGAUCGAGGACUUAACC
RNAcentral lists this ribosomal RNA (2918 nucleotides) under Bacillus cereus. Its description in RNAcentral is "bacterial LSU rRNA". It matches the Rfam family "Bacterial large subunit ribosomal RNA". The record is from RNAcentral. Lineage: Bacteria; Bacillati; Bacillota; Bacilli; Caryophanales; Bacillaceae.